CGCUCUUUGUGAUAUUUAAAUAGGGAGUCGUUCCUGCUCAAUGAUGUAUCUCAUUAAAUAGCAGCGGUAAUUUGACCGUUCAAAGGUAGUGUAAUUCAAGCUCAUUAAUAGUGGGCCAAUGAAUGGAUUGACGAAUUUUUAUUGUCUCAUUAUUAUUUAAUAUAAAUUAACUUCUAGAUGAAGAGGUCUAGAUAUUAAAGAAAGACGAUAAGACCCCAUCAAACUUUAAUAGUUUUANAUAAUAUAAAGGUAUUUAUGUUCAAUGUAUUAUCUAUUUAAGUUGGGGCAACUGAGAAGGAUAAAUACUUUUUUUUGAAAUUAAAUUUAUUUUGAAUGAAACAAAUAUUUUUGUAUAAUGAAUAAGUUACUGUGGGGAUAACAGCAUAAUUCUUUUGGUAAGUUCAUAUUAAAAAAAAGGGUUUGUGACCUCGAUGUUGAAUUAAGGUAUCUAUUAGGUUGUAGAAGCUUAAUUAGAGGGUCUGUU
RNAcentral lists this ribosomal RNA (484 nucleotides) under Megayoldia japonica. Its description in RNAcentral is "partial 16S ribosomal RNA". It matches the Rfam family "Bacterial large subunit ribosomal RNA", at positions 1816 to 2581 of the family's 2925-position model. Lineage: Eukaryota; Metazoa; Mollusca; Bivalvia; Nuculanida sp.; Yoldiidae. The record is from RNAcentral.